Molecule: ribosomal RNA, 496 nt
Filed under: uncultured bacterium
Lineage: Bacteria
Description: partial 16S ribosomal RNA
Rfam family: Bacterial small subunit ribosomal RNA
Source: RNAcentral
AUGAACGCUGGCGGCGUGCCUAAUACAUGCAAGUCGAGCGAACGGACGAGAAGCUUGCUUCUCUGAUGUUAGCGGCGGACGGGUGAGUAACACGUGGAUAACCUACCUAUAAGACUGGGAUAACUUCGGGAAACCGGAGCUAAUACCGGAUAAUAUUUUGAACCGCAUGGUUCAAAAGUGAAAGACGGUCUUGCUGUCACUUAUAGAUGGAUCCGCGCUGCAUUAGCUAGUUGGUAAGGUAACGGCUUACCAAGGCAACGAUGCAUAGCCGACCUGAGAGGGUGAUCGGCCACACUGGAACUGAGACACGGUCCAGACUCCUACGGGAGGCAGCAGUAGGGAAUCUUCCGCAAAGGGCGAAAGCCUGACGGAGCAACGCCGCGUGAGUGAUGAAGGUCUUCGGAUCGUAAAACUCUGUUAUUAGGGAAGAACAUAUGUGUAAGUAACUGUGCACAUCUUGACGGUACCUAAUCAGAAGGCCACGGCUAACUACGUG